UCGUUUGGUAGAGGGCAGUCAAUUCGCUGAGGUCGAAUGCAGAAGCUUUGCGUUGUAAGCUAAUUGUUUCGACUUGUAACAAGCUUGUACGAAUUCAGUAAGCUACGUAUAUAAAGUGGGAAAUAUGCCACAAGGCAAAUUAAAAGUUAAAACCAAAUUGCCAGCUAAAACGAAACCAAAGAAGAAAGCAAAGGGCCCAGCAGUUUCUAAGAGGGGAAAUCGCCCUGUGGCCCCCAAGAAGCAGAAACAUCAGGAAGCACAAAAGCUUAAGAAGAUCAUAACGAAAGCCGUAAAUGAAGCGAUGGAAGAUGAUUUGAGGGCUAGAGCCCUAGAUGGAAAGAAAUCUCUUCUGUCAAAGAAAUCAACUCCUGGUAGAUCCAAAGGCAACAAAAAGAAAACAUGAAUGUCUGGAAUUUUUUGGUGAAUUUUUCAUCAAGGUCACCAUUUUCACCACCCAUCAAGUCUUUGUUGUAAUGUGCCUUACCUGUUUGAAAUGUGUUGGAUUAUAUUCUGUGACCUAAGAUGUAGGAUUUAGACCUGUAGCACUAUUCACAACUAUUGUUUCUUGUGUAGAAGAUAUACAUACAUUUUUGGGUCCUGGUAUUUGUUUAUAUUUGAGUUCAAUAACAUUAUUGCAUAAGUACAAUGUGUGUUCUCUACUUGGUGUGCGAUGUAUGCAGAAAUGCUAAAAGUUUGUCAUAGUACAAAAUGAUUGUGAGUAGGGAUUUUCUCAGCAUAUGUAAAAACAAGAAUUUAGUUCUCUGUGAGUUAACUUUCAUGUAAUGUAAUGUUUGACACAAAGGGCAGGGUAUAAAGGAAAUAUAAAAUAUUUUUAUGUUGAAGUCAUUGAUGAUUUUAUGCAUUUUCAUUAAAGUACAUCCUGAACGCAUGUAAAAUAUUAAAAGGGAAAUAAUUUUAUUUCAGUUUUGAGUACUUUUUAGAAACACGAAGAAAAAUGAUAACUUACCAGAGCUCCAGAAAUAUAUUUGUCCUCUUAAAAGCUGACAGCGUGACAGAUCUUUAACAAGUACAUUUAGUCUUGGCCUAAAUGUAUGGGCAAGUUGAGUUUAAGUGCCUUGUAGGUUUAAUUAAUAAUCUUGGAGGUCUGUCUGUGACCUUGUGGUCCAGGGGUGCAUGCUGUACUCUGCCAGAGAUACUGUUGACUUUCAGUAGGACCAUAGUCAGAGAUUUAUAUAUGUAGAGGACUAGUAGGUGCCACCGUGGUUUGGAGCCAGUCAUCUUGGACAUGCAUUUCUUCAUCCUCUCUGGGCUGGCAGGUCUAUCAAAUUGCCAUGAUACUUCCUCUAAGAAGUUGGAGAUCAUUUUUAUAUUUGUGCAUCUUCAUGCAUUUUAGAAAUUGUCACAGGAUGGAUUCUUUUACAAGUGAAAAUAAGGGACAGGAGAUUUUUUUUCUAGAUUUAGACAUUUUUACAUGACAAAAUUUCUUACUCGUAAAACGUGGAACUGUAUACACGUACACUUUCCAACAAAUAUUAUAGUAGUUCACAAGUUAAAUACAGUAUUACUUGCCAAGUUUUAUUAUAAUGUACAAAAUUAUAUGUGAAGAUAUACAGCAUAUAAUCAUUUUUUCACUUGUCAAACGAAGCAGAAGUGUAUUUGUUGAGCCCUGAAAGUAUGUUUUGAGUUCUAAACCAUAACAAAAGAUAUAUUCACUUACAUGCUUCUUACUGUAAAAUUUUAAUGUUUGUUUAUUUCUUUUUGUUAUUAGUAUGCACCCUUUGUUGCUGUUUAAUAAAUAUAAUACAGUGGAA
This is a long non-coding RNA of Cryptotermes secundus, 1772 nucleotides long. RefSeq lists it as uncharacterized. The transcript has 2 exons. The record is from RefSeq and is a predicted model, not a curated record. Lineage: Eukaryota; Metazoa; Arthropoda; Insecta; Blattodea; Kalotermitidae.